RNAcentral lists this ribosomal RNA (1164 nucleotides) under Aestuariibacter sp. RNAcentral's name for it is "partial 23S ribosomal RNA". It matches the Rfam family "Bacterial large subunit ribosomal RNA", at positions 1401 to 2531 of the family's 2925-position model. The record is from RNAcentral. Lineage: Bacteria; Pseudomonadati; Pseudomonadota; Gammaproteobacteria; Alteromonadales; Alteromonadaceae.
GCCGAAAGGCGUAGGCGAUGGAAAACAGGUUAAUAUUCCUGUACCGCCGUGUUAUCGUUUGAGUGAUUGGGGGGACGCAGAAGGGUAGGUCAUCCACCCGUUGGAUUAGGUGGUUCAAACCAGUAGGCUGAAAGGACAGGUAAAUCCAUUCUUUCAUUUCAAGGCCGAGAGGUGAUGAGGAUCCCGCUUGCGGGAACAAACUGAUUGAUCCCAUACUGCCAAGAAAAUCUUCUAGCGAGAUUAUAAGGUGAUCGUACCGCAAACCAACACAGGUAGGCAGGAAGAAAAUUCUAAGGCGCUUGAGAGAACCCUGGUUAAGGAACUCGGCAAAAUAACACCGUAACUUUGGGAGAAGGUGUGCCCUCGGUAGGUGAAGCACCUUGCGUGCGGAGCUGAGGAGGGCUGCAGAGAAAUGGCGGUAGCGACUGUUUACUAAAAACAUAGGACUCUGCUAAGUCGCAAGACGAUGUAUAGGGUCUGACGCCUGCCCGGUGCCGGAAGGUUAAGGGGAUCUGUUAUCUCGACUUGUCGGGAGAAGCUUUGAACCGAAGCCCCGGUAAACGGCGGCCGUAACUAUAACGGUCCUAAGGUAGCGAAAUUCCUUGUCGGGUAAGUUCCGACCUGCACGAAUGGCGUAACGACUUCCGCACUGUCUCAACCAGGGACUCAGUGAAAUUGUAUUGGCGGUGAAGAUGCCGUCUACCCGCGAAAAGACGGAAAGACCCCGGCACCUUUACUACAGCUUGACAUUGAAUUUUGAAAUAGUAUGUGUAGGAUAGGUGGGAGGCUUUGAAGCAUCGACGCUAGUCGGUGUGGAGCCACCCUUGAAAUACCACCCUUGCUAUUUUAGGGUUCUAACUUCGACCCGUUAUCCGGGCGAAGGACAGUGUCUGGUGGGUAGUUUGACUGGGGCGGUCGCCUCCCAAAGAGUAACGGAGGCGCGCAAAGGUUCCCUCAGGCUGAUUGGAAACCAGCCGCAGAGUGCAAACGCAUAAGGGAGCUUGACUGCGAGACCCACAAGUCGAGCAGGUGGGAAACCAGGUGUUAGUGAUCCGGUGGUUCCGAAUGGAAGGGCCAUCGCUCAUCGGAUAAAAGGUACGCCGGGGAUAACAGGCUUAUCUCCCCCAAGAGUUCACAUCGACGGGGAGGUUUGGCACCUCGAUG